UGUUACCAAAAACAUUCUUGAAAUCAAACAUAAGAGGUCUGCCUGCCAGUGCCACGUGUUCAACGGCCGCGGUAUUUUACCGUGCAAGGUAGCGCAAUCACUUGUCCUUAAAUGGGGACCUGUAUGAAUGGCACGACGAGGGCUUGACUGUCUCCUCUCUCCAGUCAAUGAAAUUGAUCUCCCCGUGCAGAAGCGGGGAUAUUAUCAUAAGACGAGAAGACCCUAUGAAGCUUAGACACCGGACAGAUUAUGUUAAACACCCUUCUAAAGGAAUAAACUAGUAACCCCUGUCCAAAUGUUUUGGUUGGGGCGACCGCGGGGAAAAUAACCCCCAUGUGGACUGAGAGAAUUAACUCUUACAACCCAGAGCUACAGCUCUAAGUAACAAAUUUUGACCAAAGGAUCCGGCAAUGCCGAUCAACGACCGAGUUACUCUAGGGAUAACAGCGCAAUCCCCUUUUAGAGCCCUAUCGACAAGGGGGUUUACGACCUCGAUGUUGGAUCAGGACAUCCUAAUGGUGCACCGCUAUUAAGGGUCGUUUGUCAACGAUUAAAGCUAAA
Molecule: ribosomal RNA, 561 nt
Filed under: Paralabrax loro (parrot sand bass)
Lineage: Eukaryota; Metazoa; Chordata; Actinopteri; Perciformes; Serranidae
Description: partial 16S ribosomal RNA
Rfam family: Bacterial large subunit ribosomal RNA
Source: RNAcentral